Molecule: long non-coding RNA, 4028 nt
Filed under: Homo sapiens (human)
Lineage: Eukaryota; Metazoa; Chordata; Mammalia; Primates; Hominidae
Description: HSALNT0156716
Source: RNAcentral
UCAGAAUCGGGGGAGGAAGGUGAGAGAGGAAAGCAGAAUCCAAGAAAAGCCUUCCCUGGGAAGCACAGACGUGGCCUUGGGGCCUGGGGCUGAGAAGCCGGUCAGGAAGGGGCAGGCGGACACGGGGCCUCGGGGCCUGGGGCUGAGAAGCCGGUCAGGAAGGGGCAGGCAGACACUGCCUCUGCUGGUUGUGGGUUCAGGGCUGACGUGGCUGUGACGCACUCUGCUCAGGGUUCAGCGGGUCCUGGGUGCAGUGGUGGAGCUGUCACUGCUCACAUCCUCAUGGAACCACGUGCCAGUGACGGGGAUAGAUUUGCAGCCAGCAGCACAGCCAGACACGAGGGGCUGAGGAGGAGUCAGCAGACCAUGUAUUUGUUGUUGUUCUAAGAAACCUUUUCACUCGUCCUGCUUUGGUGACAUUCUCUCUUGAGGUGAAGCUUUAGGAAAACAGGGUCCAAGAUGGACAAACAGGAUGCUUUACGGAAUGGUCAGUGUUUUUCCAGCAUGGCCCCACCCCUGCUGGGAUGGUCCGCGGCCAUUGUGAAAAACAAGUGAGUUGGAAACUCACCCAGUUCCCAGUCAGCCCAGAGUCAGGGAAUAAAUGGACAACCAGAGAGAGCCAGAGUCGCUACAGCCAGCCUGGCAGUGCAAGCCCGGAGCUGACACAGGGCCACAGCCACGAUGCAGCCACUAAUGCGGACCCUUGGGCUGAGCCUGCUUUCCAUGCUGUGAGCCCAGGGGACCCAGAUGGUUCCUGUCCCCGCUGAGAAGGUGGAAGGACUGUGGCACGCCCUGCGCUGGGAGCAGGACAGGGAGCUACUUAAAGAGGAGACGGCUCACCCUCUGCCACCAUUCUGGAUCCAGCGUUUCCAGGGUAACUUUAUGUUAAAAAUGAAUGUAAGGGAUCCCACUGGGAACUGCACAGUAUUUAAGACACUGCUGGUGAAAACAGACAACUCUACCACGUACAGAAUCUGUGAGUAGCUGCCAGGCAGCAGAGCCACAGUCCCAGCAGCUCCCACACUCCAGCAUCUGGCCACCAGCCCUGGGGGCACGCGGACACCCAUCCAGCAGCUCCUGGCAGGCUGUGCUGACUCACCUCCGCCAGCCUCCAGGGCAGGCACUCAGCCCUCCUGGGGUCCUGUGCCCUCCGCCUGAUCCCCACUUAUUACACAGGGAAAGAAGGACUCAGCCCAUCCCUGGGUCCCAUGGACAGCAUUUCCUGGGCCCGUGGUCCCUCCCUGGCAUUUUGGAGUCAUUUACAAGGCACGUUCUCCUCGCCGGGCCCUGGCAGAGUCCAGUGGCCUCUGUGGCAUCCCGGAAGCUGUGUUUUCAUCAGCCCUGCAGAGAAGCUGUCCAAGGCCAGCAUCUGACCCCUCUGACCUCCGUCAGCCAGAGCGGAGGAAGCAGCAUCUGGGGGGGACUCUCACCGGCCUGGAGAUGCACUUGGGGCUCACCCACUCACUGCCACCAUCCUGCCUCCCCGAGUGCUCUCAGCUUCUGACUCGGGGCCCCUCCCAUUUCCUAUAGAGGGACAGAAAUUAUUAGCAUUUCAGACUCAUAGACUCAACUUAAAAAGGGCGCAACCACCCAGCUCACAAGAGCACAUCCUCCGCCCCUCCCAGCGGGGGAGCAGGAGGUCUGCAUCUGUCCGUGGAGACGGACCACUACUACAUCAUGAACACCCGGGAUGAGAGGAGGGACCCGGCCGUGCACACAAUGAACCUGACAGGCGCGUGUCCACGCUGAUGUCACGGGGCCUGUGGACGGGGGCCUGUGGACGGGGGCGCUGCCCCUUGGAGUCCUCCCUAACUCAGCCAUGCCCAGAUUCCUGCGUGGUCGGCUGUAACUGAGGUGAGUGCCACAAGGCCUCUGCGUGUGUUCAGAGUGUCCACACCAGACUCCGGCCGGACUCAUGGGCCCUGGGACUCCGCAGCCCUCGACCUUGGCAGCCUCCUUGCCUGUGGGUGCUUGAAUGCCACGCAGCAUCCGACACAUCCCACAACCUUGAGUCUGCUAUGAGUCAAGUGUGGUCGCUGUAGAUAAGGAGGAAAAAAGAUCAUGAAAAAGAACAACAACAACAAAAAAUCACUCAUGGCCGGGCGCGGUGGCUCAUGCCUGUAAUCCCAGCACUUUGGGAGGCCAAGGCAGGCAGAACACGAGGUCAAGAGAUCAAAACCAUCCUGGCUAACACGGUGAAACCCUGUCUCUACUAAAAAUACAAAAUAUUAGUCAGGUGUGGCGGCAGGCGCCUAUAAUCCCAGCUACUCGGGAGGCUGAGGCAGGAGAAUGGCGUGAACCCAGGAGGUGGAGCUUGCAGUGAGCCGAGAUCGCGCCACUGCACUCCAGCCUGGGCAACAGAGCAAGACUCCAUUUCAAAAACAAACAAACAAAAAUCACUCCUAAGCUCACCACCCAGGCCAAUGUACUCCAGAAAAAGGGAGAAGGCUUCACCACCUCCCUGUGUGAUUUCAUGUCCCAAGCUCUGUGUCUCAGGGUGUAGGAAGCCCUCUGUUGAAUAAGUCCACCCUCCCUGGCCACAGCCUUAGUCCUACUUGCUGUUUGGGAACAGAAGAUCCCUGCCCGGUGCCUACAGAGGGGUGGGCAGAGGCUGAAACCCUCCUCCAUCUUCCCUCCCAGGCCCCAGGAGCCGAAGAUUCCUCUUCUCACGACAUGAAGCUCCCCUCCCCUCCUCCAGUCCUCAGCUUUCCUUUCUAAGAGAGAAGAGACCGGGGCCUGGGCAGUGAGUGGACAGGACUGUCCCCCUGUCCUCCUCUGUAGGUGCACGCCCCUACAGGUGACACCUCUGGGUCCUCCACACCCUCAGUAGGAGCUCCAGGGCAUGGCUGGUCUCCCAGCCACACGGGAAGCCACAGGAUCCCCAUGGGACAUCCCCAGCCACGUGCCACACUCAGUAACCACCCGUGGGCUUGUGUGCAAAUCCCUGAAGUCAGUGAUGGCUCAAAUGUCGUCUCUGCCACCGUGGAGGUUGGCCAUGGGGGAAAGGUGACGGGGGCAGAAGGGUGAGGGCUCCAAGUGGCUCGAGGAAGGGGCCAUGGUGUGAGCAGGGGCACGGGCGGGCAGUCAAGGAGCUGGGAAGGGCCAGCCAGUCCUGCCCUGGAGCCUCCGGGAGGAGCCAGCGCUGCGGACACCUUGGCUGUAGCCAGGGAGGCUCACUUUGGACUUCCAACCUCCACACCUGUCAGAGGCCACGAGUGUUUAGCCAUUAAAGAAACCUCCAGGGGCUGCGGUGACAAAUGACCACAGACUCAGGAGCUGAACACAACGCACAUGCAUUGUCUCACAAUUCUGGAGUCAAAAGUCUAGAAACAGUCGGUGGGGCUGGUUCCUUCUGGAGACUUCUGGGAAGGGGAGAAGCCGCUUUCUUGGCUUUCCCAGUUUCUGGAGUGGCUGCAUCCUGCACUCUCGGCCCCGCCAUGCCACCAAGGCCUCCGUUUCUGUAGCCUCUGCUGCUCUCUGGCAUCUGCACGGUUGCCCCGAAGCCGCUCCGCGACGGCCCUCCCUGAGCUGUGUAGCGCUGGGGGGAGGAGGCGUGGCCACAGUGGGCUGCAUUCAGGAUCUUGAAAGCCACUGAAGCCAUGGCUGGCUCUCAGUCCUCAGGGAGCCUCUUCCCCUGCCUGGCACCAGGCUCCCAGAAUCUGGGAGGCAGCCUCUUCAUCUGGCUGCUGGUGGAGACCUGAGCCCAGCCCCAGGGUCCUCAGUCCUGCCCCUUGUCCUCCGCAAGCUCUCACUACAUCCUACCUAUGUCCAGGGACCUCGGCCCAUGCAUCUGCCCAGAUCCCAGCCUACCCGAGAGCAUGCAUCCCCAACUGGACCAGCACCCAACACAGCCCAGGGCUCCCCUGACCCACAUAAACCUUGUUAAUAUUGCCUCUGUGGUCUCUGCUUGUUGCCUGAGGGGUGGAGGUGGGGGGUAUCUGCUCAGACUGGCUCCAGCGCGUCCUAAGGCCAGGCCCUUCCCAAAGGAGAGUGAAGCCAGGCCCCAUGAGUCCCAGCUGGACAGGAAG